UGGGGAAUGACGUCGAAAUCAUCAUGCCCCUUAUGACCUGGGCUACACACGUGCUACAAUGGUUGGUACAACGAGUUGCGAGUCGGUGACGGCGAGCUAAUCUCUUAAAGCCAAUCUCAGUUCGGAUUGUAGGCUGCAACUCGCCUACAUGAAGUCGGAAUCGCUAGUAAUCGCGGAUCAGCACGCCGCGGUGAAUACGUUCCCGGGCCUU
RNAcentral lists this ribosomal RNA (211 nucleotides) under uncultured Streptococcus sp. RNAcentral describes it as "partial 16S ribosomal RNA". It matches the Rfam family "Bacterial small subunit ribosomal RNA", at positions 1173 to 1382 of the family's 1533-position model. Lineage: Bacteria; Bacillati; Bacillota; Bacilli; Lactobacillales; Streptococcaceae. The record is from RNAcentral.